This is a long non-coding RNA of Plectropomus leopardus (leopard coralgrouper), 1073 nucleotides long. RefSeq lists it as uncharacterized. NCBI's taxonomy places the organism in Eukaryota, Metazoa, Chordata, Actinopteri, Perciformes, Serranidae. The record is from RefSeq and is a predicted model, not a curated record.
UAACCUCUUCCCAAGUAAUCAACCCACUCACGCAUAACUGUGCAGAGACAUUUGAAUUCUCCAGCGAGGACGCAGGAUUUCCCCCCUGCCGUUCAAAUGAAGGGUGCAGCGUCCUCUGAUGAUUUAAAGGUUCAGAUGGAGAGACUAUACCUAAAAGAAACACGCCUGGCUCAACACUGAGCGAAAAUUGGCGCAACAAGAAAAUCCUCAGAGGCUUACGUAUCCAAAAAGCCUUCACAAUCGGGGAAUCUGGUGAGAAUUCCAUUAAGAGAUGGGGAGAAAAUUUAAAUAAAUGCUCUCUUGACCUAAUGUUACUCAUCAUUGAUCAAGUGUCCACAGGAGCAGACACAGAGAUUGAAAAACAAGCGGAAAUCUUCAUAGAUAAGUUUGGAUUCACUUCCAGUUCGGUUUAGAGUUUUGCCAGCAAACACAAAGAGAAGCUACUCAGCAUUAAACUUAAAAAGUACAAGCGUGACACUGAAGGCUAUCAAAGAAAGGAAAUCUACCACUGGGAAUUUAGAGAAGGAGAAGCACCGUCCCAGACUUAAGCCACAGCCGCGCGCACAAGCGCGCCAAGGCACACGAUUACGCGCAGACAGAGACCUGAUCACCGCAGGGAGCAUGCCAACUACAGCGAUUCCUCCGUGGAAAGUGACUUCACCUUUAAUAGCGACUCUGGCAUCCCACCGAGUCAAACCCCUUUUUUAUACAACCGAAAGAAACACGAGCGGAAAGGAAGAAGAAACGCAGGCGGGGCAAGCGCGCAUCCAAGCACCGGGCACCGGCCGUAGACGCGCAGCAACUGGCGGACACGGCGCACCUUCAUCAGGCGACCCAUCAGUGGCUGAUGGCCCCUCUGCUGGACCACUACGAGCUGCUUCUGGUCUGACAGCUUUAUACUUUUCAGCUGAGCCUCCUUCAACACCAGCAGCCUUUGGACUCGUCCUCAGCCUGACGAUGAAGAUAAAGCUGAAGAUGAAGAUAUGAACCACUGGACCACAAGAAAACAACUCAGGAGUCUCAACAGGGAGACAACUCAAGACCUCUGCAAAUACAGUUCUGCAUGGAUGGAG